UUUAAACUAGGUUUGAAGGCAGGCGAUCAAAGCCCACAGUGAGUGUUGAAAGAUGAGCAGCCAAGGAGUGGUCAGCCGGAGGGAGAAGAGCGUCAUACAGCCCCCAGAAUAGCAACAACAGUAAAUAUGGUCAUGCUGUUCCUCCACUCAGACCCAGAUCACAUUUACAGCAUGCAUUGGGUCCAUUGGCUACCAGACAUUCAGGAGCUUUGACGAAAUAUUUACAAAUGUAACUGCAGUUAAGAAGACCUUAUUCCAGCAUCAAACAAGCUGACAUCAAGCAAAAGGAGGAGACGUGAUCACGGGCCACAGUGUGCAGGCACCAUACAGUCUAUGGGGAGAAAAAUUUUUAAUCACCAGCUGGUUCAAUGCUCCAAGAUAUGAACUAUGUUCUUGUUCCACUCACAUCUACAUGGGAACUUGCUGUUAUUUGCAGCUGACUCAUGGCCACUGAAGCACACAGGUUUUGCAUAAUGGGAAAGGUGGACUGCAAAAUGAUUCUCUCUCUGUGACUGUCUUAUGUUUUAUAUAAUGCCUAUCACAGUGGUAUCAAGGUGCCUCACUUAAUGAAGGAGCAGAAAAUCCCAGACUGAAAAGGUGUUUAUUUCACUGUUCUCUCAUAUAUUUAAAAAUAUCCCAUGAAGUAAGACAUAAUAUUCUGCAUGAUCAGUGGCACACAUGGUGUAUGAGAAGGGGUGGUCAAGCUAGUUCAGCUGGCUGGGAAAACCCUGUUAACUUCUCAGAUUUAGAAAAAGGGGAUCUUUUUCAAGGAUCCAAAAAUGACCUCUUACUUCUGUAUACAAAACUCUACUCAUCAUUUUCAUGUGAUUUCCCCCAACCUGACUCUGCUGUUAACUUGCAAUUAAUUUCUGUCCUAAUUUCCAUGAUUUGCUUACCCGAGACUAUAAUGUGUAAGUCAAAUUCUGCGCUCAUUUACACACUAUCUAGCUCCUCAGAGCUAUAGGGAAUUGCACGUGGUGAAUCUGGGCAUUAUUUGCCCUAUAGCUCUAUACCUAUCUUGACAAUUUGAAAAGCUGGUUUCAUUCCUUUUGCAGCUUCUCUGCUUUGUUGGUUUCUUCUGCCCACCCACUAUAUCACUUGGAGUGUUACUGAAGUAGGUUUGUUAUUUCAGACACAUACCAACGCCUGCUGCACUCAUUUCUCCCCUACAGUCUUACACAGGGCACAGAGUCAACUUCAUACUUACAUUUGUAUCAGUUACACACACAGGAUCUAAAUUCAUCCCUUCCUCUGUAUAGCCUAAUAUUUUCUGUCCGAUGAUAACUCAAUAUAUACUAAAUAGUAAAUCUGGUUGCUUUUUUACUACAAUUUUCAAUUUGUUUAGGUGGAAACAAUGUAUUUCUCUCCUUAUAGAAACCUUGCUGAGACAAACAUGAUAAAGGAAGUGUGUUUUCAGAGCAGCAGUCCAAUGACGCUAUUUAGUUAAGAAAAAAUCAUGCCAUCAUGUUACAGUCCGUGCCAAAAUAACAUAGACCACUAUUCAGUGCCCAGUAUCCACUGCUGCCCAAAACCUUAUCUUGUCCUAUUUAUACUUUCACAACUGAGGUCUUGUUUAAGAGCUGGUGAAUAUUGUAUUUCCUUUUUUUAAAAAAA
Non-coding RNA from Chelonoidis abingdonii (Abingdon island giant tortoise), 1614 nucleotides. Lineage: Eukaryota; Metazoa; Chordata; Testudines; Testudinidae. The record is from RefSeq and is a predicted model, not a curated record.